CUUCAGUUGUUGCUUGCUCAUCCUUCAGUCACGUCUGACUCUUUGUGACCCUAUGGACUGUAGCCCGCCAGGGUCUUCCUUGGUCAGAGGGAUUUUUCAGGUGAAGCCACACCCUGAAUGAGCUGAACGGUAGUGCUGUGCCUUUCCUGUGUCACUAGCAGAACCAGUGCUGUGAUUCAUGACUGAGCUAUGCCAGGAAAAGUGAGGAAAUGACCCAAUAUUUAUUAGGACUCUUUUGGUUGCAAGUAAGAGAAACUCAUCAUAAACAAUUUUAAACAAAAAUGCAGGACUUCCUUGGUAGCACAGUGGAUGCGAAUCUGCCUGUCAAUGCUGGGGACACAGGUUUGAUCCCUGGUACGGGAAGAUGCCACAUGCCUCAGAGCAACUAAGCCACUAUGCCACACUAUUGAGGCUGAACUCUAGAGCCUGUGAGUCUCAACUACUGAACUGGCAUGCUGCAACUACCGAAACCGCUGUGCCUAGAGCCAGUGCUCUGCAACAAGAGGAACCGCCAUAACGAGAAGCCACCAUUACGAGACGCCAUCGUAAUGAGAAGCCCAUACGCCACAAGGAAGAGUAAUGCCCGCUCAGCGCGACUGGAGAAAGUCGACACAGCAAUGAAGACCCAACACAAUCGAAAACUAAAAACAAAUAAAUAAAUUAUUAAACAAAAACGUAAAUUUAUUGGCUUACAAAAUUUAGAAGUCCAGGAGUAGAUUGCCUUCAUUCAUAAGCUAGAUUCUUGGGCUCAAAUCAUUGGGACUCUGUUUCUCCUGUUUUCUGGACUCUAGUUUUCCCUGUUGUUUUUAUUACUCUCAGGGCCCCCUGGUGUGAUGGUAGAAAUGGGCAGACUCACUCUAGGCCCAUAUUUUAUCUGUUUAGCAGCUCCACUGUAAGGAGAGUGCCUGGUUCCCACAGAAAUCCAAGGCUGACUCUCCUUGCUCCUUCUUGGGACACAUGUCCACCCUUGGGCUGAUGAGCAUGACUCUGAUUGGCCAGGCCUAGGUUACAUGACCAACCCUGGAGUCCAUCAUACCCACACUCACUGAGAAGGGGAGCAAAAUUCCCUAGAAGAAAAUAGGACUACUGUUACCAAAAGAAGGGUGGGUUGACGGUGGUCAGGUGAAAACAACAGAUGUUUACAAGAGGCCUUAAUAUGCUGCCCCUGGGAAGACUAGGAUUAUGUUAGCCAC
Bos taurus (domestic cattle) is the source of this 1193-nucleotide long non-coding RNA. The record is from Ensembl. NCBI's taxonomy places the organism in Eukaryota, Metazoa, Chordata, Mammalia, Artiodactyla, Bovidae.